UGAGGCGGGUCGAAGGGUGCAGCCGAAUAUUGGGAGAUCAACCGUGUCCUCAAUAGUUCAAACGUUUCGAAGAGAGAACAGGACUGCAAGAUUACCUCAAACCGGUGGCAGAGGACGCCUUUUCACACCUCAACAGGAGGAGGCUAUUUACACCAUGGUCCGAGCAAACAAUGCCAUGAGACUCAGGGAAAUACAAAGGACCAUUAUAGAAGACAACGAUGUCUUUGAAAACAUCCAUACGGUUAGCAUCUCAACCAUCGACAGGGUGCUGCAUAGAAACCAGAUGAGUAUGAAACAGCUGUACCGUGUACCAUUCCAAAGGAAUGAGGACAGAGUUAAGGAGCUACGGUACCAGUAUGUACAGCAUAUAAUGGAGUUGGAAUCAAGUGAACCCUCUCACGACUUUGUAUACGUGGAUGAGGCUGACUUCAACCUGACCAAAUGCAGAAGGCGGGGUCGGAAUAUCAUCGGUCACAGAGCUACUGUGGAUUUGCCAGGCCAACAAGGAGGAAAUAUCACCAUGUGUGCUGCUAUUUUGGAGCAUGGUGUCCUAACCCAUAUCCCCCUUAUAGGGCCAUACAACACCCAGCAUCUAUUCAACUUUUUAGAGACUCUCUACAGGGCUCUCAUCCCUGAUGAUGAGAGGGGUCUGUUUAGAGAGGAUUUGCCAAAGUAUGUGGUCAUUUGUGAUAAUGUGAGUUUCCAUCGAUCAAACAUCAU
RNAcentral lists this long non-coding RNA (720 nucleotides) under Salmo salar (Atlantic salmon). RNAcentral's name for it is "lncRNA (ENSSSAG00000095091.1)". The record is from RNAcentral. Lineage: Eukaryota; Metazoa; Chordata; Actinopteri; Salmoniformes; Salmonidae.